CUAAUCCAUGCUCUGUCCUUUCUUAACUCCACUCUAGCUGCCAAGAGGCCCAGCACACACAGUGGUUCCCACAGUAUAAUGCAGCAAGGUUCUACGACAAUCUCUACAGUGCUGAGGCGGCUGCCUGGGUGAACUUCUUCUUCUGGUGUCUGCUGAUGGUCCUGAUGCUCGUGCAGCGCAGACAGGAAGCCCCGUUCCAGCUCCUGCAGCGCAACGACCCCGAGUGGAGCUCCGAGACAGACGCCAUCUUUGGUGCCCGGCCACAGAGGCCAUGAGACUGGGAGGGACAAGUAGCCUCAGUUUGGGCAAGGGGGGGAAUGUGUUUGUGUGUGUGAGAGAGAGAGCGAGCGCACGCAUGAAGGGGGGAGAGGAGAGGGCUGGAAGCAUCCCCCUUCCCCCGUGCCUUUCUUCUGGCUUCAGGGGUGCUCUGCUUGUCCUCCUCUGGCCAUUCUGGUUCUUGAUAGUGAGGGAAGCCAAUGGGCUGGCCAGUAAUCCUGGCUGUCUGGCGUGAUCCCACUCAUAGUCCCAACCUCCAGUACCUGUCUCCUCCCACCUCCACCCGUACAGAGGGGGUGGGCCAGGCUAGGGUUCACCUCGCACACAGGCACCCUACGGGGGGGGCGGGGUGUUCUGAAUAUGAGAGGAUCUCAGCACAGACAUGAGCUGUGCAGCGCUCCUUGACAUCCCCACCGGAACCCACUGUUGACACUGCAGGUUCCGUAAUCCUUGGAUCUGAGGGACACCGGCAGCCAGAUCCAAUCUCCCCUCCCCCGAAGCUCUCUGAUGUCAGUGUGAUGGGCUUUAUGUAAGACCGUGGGGUGCAUCUGCUUUAAAUACCAGAGACACUGGGAGUGCAUGAGCCCAUUCCAGCUGGGCGUGUGUAAUCACAGAACUAGCUUAGUGGAGGCAGAGCGAUUCUUCUCAGGGAGUGGGGAAAGGAGGGCUUAGAGCGGGACCCUGCCCGGAUGGGAAGGACAAGCCCCAGCAGCACCACUGUGACACUCGUUACAGGAUGUGGGGCCCAAGUGCCAAUGGGCUGGGUGUCUGAUUGUCCAAAGCUGGUUGCCGUACCCUCUCAGCGAGAGGGCACUUCAUUUCAGGAGCCAAAGAGAGAAUGCCAGCUGCCUAACUGCAGGCGAUCCUGCUGGGCCAGCAAGUCCCUUCCACGGGGUGUUUGAAGACCAGAGCAAGAGGGAAGGGCCCAUUCAUGCCUAAAUGCCUCUGCAGACCCCGCUCCUGCUCAGGGGUCGGGAUCUCCUUGCACCAUUAUUGUAUGUGGAACUGGGCCCGUUUCUUGUGCCUUUUCAUUUUGUAUUAAUCCUUGUUAUUAAAAUGAUUUUCACCA
Long non-coding RNA from Malaclemys terrapin pileata, 1345 nucleotides. RefSeq lists it as uncharacterized. The transcript has 2 exons. Lineage: Eukaryota; Metazoa; Chordata; Testudines; Emydidae. The record is from RefSeq and is a predicted model, not a curated record.